ACUCAAAGGAAUUGACGGGGGCCCGCACAAGCGGUGGAGCAUGUGGAUUAAUACGUCACUAACCGUAGAACCUUACCCAGGCUUGACAUCUGGAGAACCCGCCUGAAAGGGCGGGGUGCCCCGCAAGGGGAGCUCCAAGACAGGUGUUGCAUGGCUGUCGUCAGCUCGUGUCGUGAGAUGUUGGGUUAAGUCCCGCAACGAGCGCAACCCUCACCGACUGUUGCCAGCAUUCAGUUGGGCACUCUGUCGGAACUGCCCGUGCAAGCGGGAGGAAGGUGGGGAUGACGUCAAGUCAGCAUGGCCCUUACGCCUGGGGCUUCACACAUGCUACAAUGGCCGGUACAGAGGGUCCCGAUACCGUGAGGUGGAGGCAAUCCCAAAAAGCCGGUCUCAGUUCGGAUCGCAGGCUGCAACUCGCCUGCGUGAAGUCGGAAUCGCUAGUAAUUGCCGGUCAGCUAAACGGCAGUGAAUACGUUCCCGGGCCUUGUACACACCGCCCGU
RNAcentral lists this ribosomal RNA (501 nucleotides) under uncultured bacterium. RNAcentral describes it as "partial 16S ribosomal RNA". It matches the Rfam family "Bacterial small subunit ribosomal RNA", at positions 899 to 1397 of the family's 1533-position model. The record is from RNAcentral.